CUUACAUUGUACUGGCUAAUUUACUACAUUUGGAGGGUUAACAUCUAGACUUAUCAUUCUUUUUAAUGAAUGGUUGCCUAUUCGUGCUCAUAACCUUUAUUCAGUGUAUGGCAUUUGCAGCUCUUUGGGAUGGUUUGACAAGGCACAUCACAAGCAAAUAUUGGAGGAGCUACUACUCCAAAUGUAUGAAACCAACAUGCUCAGUUAGAAUAAAUUGAGCAUGUACAGGCAAAUGUAUGACAAGUGCCUGAUUGUCCUGCUGUACAGGCAUACAGCUUGAUGGUCUGGUCUUUGAAAGCCCUAGAUCAGAAAUGGGGGAUGUGUGUUUCUCUACACACCUCAUUGACGGUGAUGGGGUUUUCAAUGUCUCCGAAUUGGAGAACUUCAUGAAGGAAGCUAGAUUGGGUGAGUGCAGGCUCUCGUAUGCUGUUGUAUCAAUAAUGGGCCCGCAAAGUAGUGGGAAAAGUACACUUUUGAAUCAUCUUUUUGGCACCAAUUUUAGAAAGACGGAUGCUUUCAAAGGAAGGUGUGCUACUAUUUCUUUAUAUUUGUCACUAAACUUAUGCGGGGCCCGAUGUGGGGGCUGAUGGCCGGCCUCGCCACCAUCGACGCGCAGCCCCACGGAGGCUCCCCUCACACUCCUUACGCGGUCACGGGAAUUGCCAUUGGAGUCUUGCCUUUGGGAGUGGGGCUCCUGUUCUAGGUGCACAGCAGGUGUAUGAGUAAGCCUCGAGGAUUCAGAAGACACAGUUAUCACUUUAAUAGAACCCGGUACGUACCCCUCUAUUUGCACCACUUGAAGGUGCAUACCACAACAUGUGACCUACUGUAUUCUGAAGACUGGUAGAAUUGUAAUCGUAAUGCUAUCAUGCGCAAUUUAGUUUGGAUUAGACGCCGUUCCCAGCGAACCUGGUGAGGCCCCAGCCAUUUGAGAAUUGUCUUCAUUUUUUGUAUGCAAUAUUUAGUUUAAUCAGUGGAUGUUGGGAUGUCGUGGGGAUGUUAUUUGGGCUAUUUUGUGCUGUAAAUUUUGUGCCUGGCUGCAGUGGAACCCGGUGAAAUUGGGUUUGAGUUGGCAAUGCAAGCAGGGUUUAAGCGAUUUAUUUUUGUUGAGUUGGGAACUUGGGAUUCUAAGCACAUGUUCAGUCUUCUCGGAAAAAGAGUUCACGGAAGGAUGGAGGUGUGACAGUUCCAGAGAGAGAGUCUGCUUUGGAGGAGGCUGGUGCAAUGGAUGCGGUCUUGGUGAAUACACAUAAGGUUGAUGAUACAUUGAACUUGUUUGAAGAACUACAGUCCUUGCACUCGAGUGUUGCCACGAAGACUAAAACUUUGCAUGAUGCUUGCGGCCAACUGGGAGCAUGUUUAUGUAGCCAUUCUGAUCAUUUCAUUAUGUUUGUGGAGAAAUAGGGGGCUACUUUUGUGCAAAGCUGAGCAAAUUCAUAGGAGAAUCUGAUGGAGCUGAUGAUCUUGGUCCCGCUGCAAAUAUUAUGGGAUCCUCAAUGAAGCGAACUAAUAUCAAAAUUUAAUUUGGAGGCAUUUAUGGAAUCAGAGUUUUAGUUUGGUAUUAUCUGAUUUAAUCUCGGCGCAUUCGAUGAUGCUACCAAUAUUGUUUGCAUAUCACUAUGAUAGUAUCGAGUUUGCACCAUAUCCUGAUUUGGCAUCAUAAGGAUGCUGUUAGAAGUGAGAUAUUGAAUGGAAUAUUUGGUGGCAAAAAUAAUUGAGGUGUGGCGACCUGCUCGCCCUUCCGGCCCAGUUCCGCGCUGCGGUACCGAAUGGACAGCGCCAUUUGGUGAAGAUGACCCUUGGUAUGGAACCUCUCAGAUUUAACGGUCAUGUAUGUUAACUCACAUGCGGUGCUAAUUUUUAUUUACUGGCGAAGUGGCUAAUUUGUAAAAUUAUGAUUGUGAUUUCACUAUUUCACAACUGUUCAUGUUGGACUCAUGGUAUCUUGA
Molecule: long non-coding RNA, 1949 nt
Organism: Panicum virgatum (switchgrass)
Lineage: Eukaryota; Viridiplantae; Streptophyta; Magnoliopsida; Poales; Poaceae
Exons: 9
Source: RefSeq, a predicted model, not a curated record